GAUAUAGUAUGCGAGCAUAUAUAUUCAAUGUAACAAAACCCCCCAUACUUAAACCUUGCUUAUCCUCAAGCAAAUUUGAGUUAAAAUACAUGGAAAAUGUGCGAAAUUCAUAGCCUUAGAUCCCCCUUUGGCUUAUGCUUUUAUGCAACCAAAGAAAUAUAGUUAAAAAAAUUUCCUUGUCAAGGCUUAAACCAGUCAGUGCUCAAUCACAAUUUGGUCAUCAACUUAAUGUUCUCAGGAACUUCCUAGCAUAACCUCUCUUCUAGUUCUUUUGCACUUCAAAGCAAGCAUAUGCACACUUCAUUCCCCUUCACAACCUCUAUAGAUUUUUAUGAUUCUUGACCCUAUAAACAAAAUUGUACUCCCGAUCUCCACUAAUAUAGGUGUAACAUCUCCAAGGAUCAAAUAGGUCUUUAAUUUGGUGGAAACAUGGCUAAGGUUCUUACAGAUAAGCUUUUUUGGAUUGUGCAUCUUUCCUUCUUCAAAUGGAUCAGAUGAACUUUGGUGUCUAUCACUUGUCAUUAGUCAUGUACUCUCAUGCAAGGUAUGAGCAGUGACAUUUUUGGGAGAGUAGCUUCAGAGGGUUAUUCAACAUAAGGCUCAGGAUCGAUGGUAUAGAGAUUGUGGAGUGAGUGACCCUACAUUUAGGUGGGGUAGCCUUCAUUUCAAUGAAAGAUGGUUGUUUGACAAUAAAGGUUUUCUUAGUCAUGGUAUAGGUGUAUGUAUUUGGUAAAGUUAAAAUAAAGACUAUGAAAGAUAGUGGAUGAAAAGUUGUUUUAUAUAAAAGACAGAUUGUGAGUCAUUUAGGUGGGAAAACCAAACCCUAGCCACAAUCUUAGGCACCAAGCCAAUCGAUAAGUAAAUCGACGUGCUCCAAGAUAAAGGUGUGACAUAGGCUAUAAUCAUUGCUAAUGGACGUCUGUCUGUAGGCAUUAGAGAGAAUUUUGCUUUUUUUGUUUUUACCCAUGUAAAUUCACAAAUUUAUAAUGUUGAUCUAUCCUUAAACCCAUGAAAAUUUUUACUUAGCCUAAUUUGUGUAUAAGAAUGAACCCUAGUAUAAUAUUUCCUUGCUUAAGCAAUUUUAGUGACAGUAAGUUAACCAUCCACACAACUCAAUUCAAAGCAGAUGAAAGACACAUGGGAAAGUAGUAAUCAAUAAAUAAGUGACGUCUUGAGAGACUCCCCUAAAAAUGUGAGGUGUGUUACUUGCAUCUGUGAGCGUUUUGUUUAGUUCAAGCGAUCAAUUGCAAGUUUUGAACCUUCAUUUAUGCUUAAGGGCUCGUAAUUAAAAGAAAAAAAACUAAUUAAAAAUAAAAAAAUAAAAAAUAAAAAGUUUGGGUUGCCUCUCAAUAAUGCUUAUUUUUUGUCUUUAGCUCGACCCAUAUGUAUGCUUAGGUUAAAGUUGGGUCAGACAUUAGUCAUGAUACUUCCACUGUCAUCGAUUCAUUUAUGAACAAUGGUUUAAGAUGUUAGUUGUUUACUUUAAAAGCGCCCAUAUUCUCAUUCCAAAUUUCCUUUACUCCAUAUAGGUAUAACAGUACUAUUUAACACUUACAAGUACGUCUCAGGGACAAAAUAAUCUUUAUGCAUAAGUUUAUUUGAUGUUUUUAUGAGGUAAUAAGGUUUAAAAGUCAAACUAUGAGUUUAGAGUGACACACAACUGUGUAUGGUAAGGCAAUACCCUUGUAUCAAUGCCACAUUAGUCAAAUAAGAUGACUUCCCCGUAAUUUUCAAAUUUA
Long non-coding RNA from Mangifera indica (mango), 1739 nucleotides. RefSeq lists it as uncharacterized. The record is from RefSeq and is a predicted model, not a curated record. NCBI's taxonomy places the organism in Eukaryota, Viridiplantae, Streptophyta, Magnoliopsida, Sapindales, Anacardiaceae. The transcript has 3 exons.